AUGACAACAACUGCAGCCCUGACCACAACGGCUGCCCCAACAACGACUGCUACCCCAACUACAACUGCUGCCACAACAACAACAACUGCAGCCCUAACGACAACAACUGUAGCCCCAAUGACAACUGCCGCCCUAACAACUUCAGCCCCAACGACGACUGCAGCCCCUACGACAACAACUGCAGCACCAACAACAACAACUGCAGCCCCAACAACAACUGCUGCCACAACAACAACUGCUACCCCAACGACAGCUGCCCCAACAACACCUGCAGCCCCAACGACGACUGCAGCCUCGACGAUGCCUGCAGUCCCCACGACAACAACUUCUGCCCCAACAACUGCAGCCCCAACAACAACUGCUUCCACAACAACUACAACUGUUUUUCCAACAAUUGCUUCCCCAACAACAACUGUAGUCCCAACAACAACUGCCGUAACAAUAUCUGCCACCCCAACAACUACAACUGCCGCCCCUACAACAACUGAUACCUCAACAACAACUGCUGUGCCUACAACUACAACUCUGUCUCCAACAACGACUGCAGCCCCAACAACAAAUGCAGCUCCAACAACAAUUGCUGCCCCAACCACUGCUGCCCCAACAACAACAGCUGCCCCAACAACAACUGCUGCCCCAAAAACAACUGCAGCCCCAACGACGACUGCAGCACCGACGACAACAACUGCAGCAGCUCCAACGACUACUUCCCCAACUACAACUGCUGCCAUGACAACUGCUGCCCCAGCAACAACAACUGCAGCGCCAACAACAACUGCAGCCGCAACGACGACUGCAGCACCCACGACAACAACUGCAGCACCAACAACAACUGCUACCCCAACAACGACAGCUGCCCCAACAACAACACCUGCAGCCCCAACGACGACUGCAGGCUCGACGACAACUGCAGUCCCAAGGACAACAACAUCUGCCCCAACAACAACAACUGCAGCCCCAACAAUAACUGCUUCCACAACAACUACAACUGUUUUUCCAACAACUGCUUCCCCAACAACAACUGUAGUCCCAACAACAACUGCUGCAACAAUAUCUGCCACCCCAACAACAACCUCUGCCCCAAUAACUACAACUGCCGCCCCUACAACAACUGAUUCCUCAACAACAACUGCUGUGCCUACAACUACAACUCUUUCUCCAACAACAACGACUGCAGCCCCAACAACGACUGCAGCCCCAACAACAAAUGCCGCCCAAAAAACUACAACUGUUGCUCCACUGGGUAUUAUCCAUCUGCUUCUCGGACUCCUUAUCUGUACCCUCUGGUAA
RNAcentral lists this long non-coding RNA (1290 nucleotides) under Dicentrarchus labrax (European seabass). RNAcentral's name for it is "lncRNA (ENSDLAG00005033308.1)". Lineage: Eukaryota; Metazoa; Chordata; Actinopteri; Moronidae. The record is from RNAcentral.